CUGGAAGAUUAAAUGAUGGGGUGCAAGCUCUUGACUGAAGUCCCAGUAAACGGCGGCCGUAACUAUAACGGUCCUAAGGUAGCGAAAUUCCUUGUCGGGUAAGUUCCGACCUGCACGAAUGGAGUAAUGAUGGCCACACUGUCUCCUCCAGAGACUCAGCGAAGUUGAAAUGUUUGUGAUGAUGCAAUCUCCCCGCGGAAAGACGGAAGACCCCAUGAACCUUUACUGUAGCUUUACAUUGGACUUUGAACAGAUCUGUGUAGGAUAGGUGGGAGGCUUUGAAGUGAGGACGCUAGUUCUCAUGGAGCCAACGUUGAAAUACCACCCUGGUGUGUUUGAGGUUCUAACCUUGGUCCCUUAUCGGAUUGGGGACAGUGUAUGGUGGGCAGUUUGACUGGGGCGGUCUCCUCCCAAAGUGUAACGGAGGAGUUCGAAGGUACGCUAAAUACGGUCGGAAAUCGUGUUGAUAGUGCAUUGGCAUAAGCGUGCUUGACUGCGAGACUGACAAGUCGAGCAGGUACGAAAGUAGGACAAAGUGAUCCGGUGGUUCUGUAUGGAAGGGCCAUCGCUCAACGGAUAAAAGGUACUCUGGGGAUAACAGGCUGAUACCGCCCAAGAGUUCAUAUCGACGGCGGUGUUUGGCACCUCGAUGUCGGCUCAUCUCAUCCUGGGGCUGUAGCCGGUCCCAAGGGUAUGGCUGUUCGCCAUUUAAAGAGGUACGUGAGCUGGGUUUAAAACGUCGUGAGACAGUUUGGUCCCUAUCUUCCGUGGGCGCUGCAAGAUUGAGAGAGCCUGCUCCUAGUACGAGAGGACCGGAGUGGACGCACCUCUGGUGUAUCGGUUGUCACGCCAGUGGCAUCGCCGAGUAGCUAAGUGCGGAAGAGUAACCGCUGAAAGCAUCUAAGCGGGAAACUCGUCUCAAGAUGAGUCUUGCCGGGGCUUGAGCCCCCUGAAGGGGUCGUUCGAGACCAGGACGUUGAUAGCUGGGUGUGGAAGCGCAGUAUGCGUUAAGCUAACCAGUAUAAUUGCCCGUGAGGCUUGACCCUAUAACUUUG
This 1055-nucleotide ribosomal RNA is filed under the name Kinneretia aquatilis. Its description in RNAcentral is "bacterial LSU rRNA". It matches the Rfam family "Bacterial large subunit ribosomal RNA", at positions 1869 to 2925 of the family's 2925-position model. The record is from RNAcentral. Lineage: Bacteria; Pseudomonadati; Pseudomonadota; Betaproteobacteria; Burkholderiales; Sphaerotilaceae.